Long non-coding RNA from Vitis vinifera (wine grape), 1340 nucleotides. RefSeq lists it as uncharacterized. The record is from RefSeq and is a predicted model, not a curated record. NCBI's taxonomy places the organism in Eukaryota, Viridiplantae, Streptophyta, Magnoliopsida, Vitales, Vitaceae. The transcript has 2 exons.
AAAAAAAAAAUCCCUCUAGUAUAGAGGACCGCGUUUCCAAGUUCAACACGAAAUCAUAACGGGUCUCCAGUGAUAUCGUCUCAAUUCGGAUUUCACAGUUGAACAAGGCAGUAGCAUUCAGUUAGCAUCAACUAGCAAUUCUCCAGAUGACUGCAGAGUAUUCAUUAAUACCAGAUAUACUAAGGCUUUGGAAGGGCAUAGAGUCUCACCGUUCCCAACCCUUCAACUUGCACCGUUUUGGCCUCCUUUUACGUCAAAACGGGCCACCCUGUUUUGACCUUUAUGUGUUAAAAUGCACCGAAUUUUAAUUUCACCCUUUUGACUUGUCUGCACUACAACGCACCGUUUUAUUUAGAACGUGAAGAGGCAUGGGGGGGCUUCAGGCUUGGUAGGUGGUGUGUCACUGUGUCUCCUUCUCUCAGUCUGUACCUGGGCCCAGAUCCCGAAGACCAAAAGGGUGAUCCGAUGGUGGAGGAGGGGCGGGGGUGCUGGGGUUCCAGAAACGUGACUGAGCCAUAAGAUGCAACAGUGGGCGUCGGCAUGGUAAAAGAGCCCAGAUAUGUAGGAUUCGUAAGAUCUCAUCUCAUGUCUUUUUGGAAUGAGUGCGAGCAUUUUCAGUCAGUUUCUUAAGGUUGGUGAAGAAUCUCUGAUACCGUGUGAGUGCGACACUCACUGAAUUUUCCCAUUUACAGUAAAAUAAUUUCCCAUUCUUUCUCUCGGGCCAUGGGCGAACUUGGGACAAUGGCGUGCCAUUUACGAAAGAUACCAGAUGCUGCUACUACUGCUUACUACUACUACCUACUACCAUUAUCAAUCUUAUUCCUCAGUCACACCCAAGUUAACACAGAGAUGCCGCUUUUAGGUGAUGGAUGUUUGCACACCCCUUGAGCGCCAUGAGGCUGUCUCCUCAUUUCAGCAUCUUGUAGUUACACCAAACGUCACCCUUUGGUAAGUAAAGUUUGACAGAGGAUCAUACACAAUGAUGGUUACCAACAAUGUGGACCCGACUUGACCCGAUAUAAUAAUCACUGCGCAAAGCCCACCACCAUCCCAUUUCCUCUCCAUCUUCCACCGUCAUUGCCAUCCCAUGGUUGGUCAAUGAUGUGGGGUCCCGACAUUCUCGAGGCAAUCCACGUGUCUCUCUGUCCUGCCAGUCAAAUUCUCAACAAAGUGUAAAACCAUCAUUUCUAUGGUUCCACCCGCGUAACAUUUGGCUCAAACUGGGUGCAUUGGGUGGUCUCAGAUACCCUAGCCUAGAUGUAAAUGAAUCUGUACAUUUUUUUCUCCACAUGAUCGAUAGAGCAUAUUUAGAACUCCAAUGAAUGACAGUAAUUUUUGUA